This 398-nucleotide long non-coding RNA is filed under the name Homo sapiens (human). RNAcentral's name for it is "HSALNT0358881". The record is from RNAcentral. Lineage: Eukaryota; Metazoa; Chordata; Mammalia; Primates; Hominidae.
AUUUACCCGAGGUGGUUGGGUACAGCUUGGUUCUACACAUUUUGGGGAGGAGACAUAAGACAUCAGUCAAUACAUGUGAGAUUUCCAUACUACUGGCAAAGAUCUCACUAAUUAGCCCUCAUAUAUUGACUUCUGUUUUCAUUUUUCUUCUUUAUUUAUCCUCAAUUGAUUGGUGAUUCCAGCCCUUUGGUCCAGCACUCAAGCCUGGAUCACUCAGUCAUCAUCUUUAUCCACUAACUGCUGGACUCUAAUGAAAAGAAAGCUCUUACCUGCCCAACUUAUUGCCUCCAAGUGUACCAAGAUACGUUUCUCUCUGACAUUGCCUGUACAUUUGCCUGUAGAACUGAAUAAAUGCCUAAAAAAUUAGUGCUAAAUGGCAGCAACUAGAGUUUACUUUG